Populus euphratica (Euphrates poplar) is the source of this 668-nucleotide long non-coding RNA. RefSeq lists it as uncharacterized. NCBI's taxonomy places the organism in Eukaryota, Viridiplantae, Streptophyta, Magnoliopsida, Malpighiales, Salicaceae. The transcript has 2 exons. The record is from RefSeq and is a predicted model, not a curated record.
AAUCACGCUUCCUUCACAGGGCGGAGUCGGUAAGAGUGGUGUUUUCUACCUCACGUCACCACAGUGAUGAUGACACGUGUGGUAUGGAACCCCUUAUCUAUCGCUCUGCACGAAAAUAUGCCACCACGCACGCUUCUCCAUUGUUUAUGAAUUUUGCUUUUUCUUGCUUCGUAUCAUGCGAUCGACGAGGAUUUCUUGCUGAAUUUCAAUCGCAAACAAUUCACAAAGAGGAGUAGCCGUCCUCCGGAGAUCAUCGAUCAGAUCCAAAAAUGGGCUAUGUGGUGAUAGUGUCAUUACCUAUGAUACUAUUCAUCUUAAUAGUAGCCCUUGCAUUUUACCUUCUUGGCAGGGCUCGGGGUCGAAGUGAAGCAGCCAGAAUUCCCUAGUAUCAUGGGCCUCCUGCCCCUCCUUUCCAUCCCAGCCUCCGCCGCAGGAGAAGCCAUCGCCUUCUCAUGUUUAGAAUUCAGAGUUGGUGUAAAUUAAUAGUCUCUGUGUGUGCUUUUCCUAUAAGCAAUGGUUUAACUUAACAUGGAUGCCUGAGCAGUGAGCAAAGAACUAUUCUUUAAUUUGUAACAAAAAGAAAAAAACUUUUAUUUUAUGCUUUGUAGAAUACUAAAUAAAUAAACUAAUAUUGGUGUUUAUUACUAUAAAUUAAAGUUGGUUUCUCA